AGAUCAGGAGCAGAAUAAGAUCGUUAAUGUUGGUACUCUGAGUAUAUUCUAAGUAACACAUCGAUUUUUUUAUAGAACGGUAAAACUUCUACUCAACGAUAAGUUUUUCUGCACGGACAGUUAUUUUGACGCUUCAGUCAUGUGCUCGUGCAUAAAUAAUUUCGAUCUUUAAAUUUGAUGUCCAAGCCAAUCUUCUUUAGUGUUAUUCAGCAUUAUUUUGAAGUAAAUUCGAAGCAGUUGGAACAUGAAACACCGUUUACCAUAGAGAUAAAUCUGUUUUUAUAUAACUUGGAAAAGUUCUGUCCUCAGACUUUUAAUGGGAGUUGAGAGAUACCAAGCGUGAGAGAUAGAAGAAGGAAGAGGCUUUUUUUGCCAUCUAUAUUACACAGACAAAAGCUUAGAUGGGACCACUUUCUGGCUAAUUAUUCCUUGAGAGCAUCUUAUUGUGACCAUUUGUAUGAAUCUUGCUUGGAGUGAGGAGUUUGUUUUAGCAGCUAUGUGGACAUAGAGAACGUGUGCACGUUACGAAACCCAAGUGGAUGAACAAUUAUUCUUUUGUUCUAUGUCUGGAGAGCAGAAAGGCUUUGACAUAGACAGGACUAUUGAUGUAAUGGGGCGCUAUACCACAUCAGGUUGCUCGCUGUGAACGAGGCACGUCUUCCAAUUAUCGCAAUUCUAUUGUGCAAUCGUAAUUCAUGUGCGGACGACUCUGCUGCUGCCACGCCCUCUACAGGAAUCCACACUAAGGUUGACAAAUUAAGGACCACAAUUAAUUCCAAGGACCUCCACGAGUAACAAAGCAAUUUUUUCCAGGAUCAGACUUAAAUUAGUCCAGAUAUAGCUAUAUAUAAGCUCAAUUUAUAAUUUAUGCAUGUUUUGUAUAAUUUUAUGAGAAAUAAUUAAGAGC
Long non-coding RNA from Drosophila novamexicana, 907 nucleotides. RefSeq lists it as uncharacterized. Lineage: Eukaryota; Metazoa; Arthropoda; Insecta; Diptera; Drosophilidae. The record is from RefSeq and is a predicted model, not a curated record. The transcript is spliced from 6 exons.